This 464-nucleotide ribosomal RNA is filed under the name uncultured Comamonadaceae bacterium. Its description in RNAcentral is "partial 16S ribosomal RNA". It matches the Rfam family "Bacterial small subunit ribosomal RNA", at positions 338 to 794 of the family's 1533-position model. Lineage: Bacteria; Pseudomonadati; Pseudomonadota; Betaproteobacteria; Burkholderiales; Comamonadaceae. The record is from RNAcentral.
CCUACGGGAGGCAGCAGUGGGGAAUUUUGGACAAUGGGGGAAACCCUGAUCCAGCAAUGCCGCGUGCAGGAUGAAGGCCUUCGGGUUGUAAACUGCUUUUGUACGGAACGAAAAGGCUCUGGCUAAUACCUGGGGCUGAUGACGGUACCGUAAGAAUAAGCACCGGCUAACUACGUGCCAGCAGCCGCGGUAAUACGUAGGGUGCGAGCGUUAAUCGGAAUUACUGGGCGUAAAGCGUGCGCAGGCGGUUUUGGAAGACAGGUGUAAAAUCCCCGGGCUUAACCGGGGAACGGCACUUGUGACUGCAAGGCUGAAGUACGGCAGAGGGGGAUGGAAUUCCGCGUGUAGCAGUGAAAUGCGUAGAUAUGCGGAGGAACACCGAGGGCGAAGGCGGUCCCCGGGGCCUGUACUGACGCUCAUGCACGAAAGCGGGGGGAGCAAACAGGAUUAGAUCCCCUUGUAGU